Molecule: non-coding RNA, 434 nt
Organism: Coffea arabica (coffee)
Lineage: Eukaryota; Viridiplantae; Streptophyta; Magnoliopsida; Gentianales; Rubiaceae
Source: RefSeq, a predicted model, not a curated record
CUCAUCUUCUUAGAGAGGCUCUUUGUUUUAAAGUUCUUCCCUCCCUGCCAAAACUUAUUUAGCCCUUUAUUUUUUUAAAUUUUUUAUUUGUCUAAUAUACAUAAAUUUCUGAUCUUGCAGGUGAAAUAUUACAAAUUUCCUCCAACACUUUUAUUAGAUUUUCAUCAAAACACAUUUUGUCUUGCCUAUGCCUUAUUCACAUAUCUUGCUCCAAGAAGAUUGUCACCCUGCUUCAUUGCUAUUCUAUAAAUGGUUAUAUGUAGGUUAGACAAAAUAAGUUAGAGCGAGACUAAUUGGCAGUGGAGUGAGAGGAGUCUUAACAUGGGAAAGAACAAGUAUAGAAGACAUGUUAAAGAUUUGUCAAUUGACAGAGCAACUUUAAUUUAACUAGUGAACUCUACCACAAAUCCUUGGAAGAUGCUGCUAAGAUAUAA